UGUCCUAAUAAAUUACCAUCUCUGUCACUUAAAGGCUUUUUGAACAAGAUUAAUUUUUAUGUAGGCUUAUUUUAUUUAACUGCAUAUGAUGUAUAGGCUACUGUGAUCUUAGUCUGACAUGUUACUCUUUUCAUGUAUUAUUUUCUUUGAUAAUAUUGAGAAUUUAAUGGGUUGUGUGUUCUUAUAGAUACUGAUGGACGGAUUGUAUUAUUGGACCCUCCAGAAAGAACACAGUCUGUCACAGUUGAUGAAGAUGAUGAAGAUGACGAUGAAGAGACCACAUCUGCUGUGACAGAAGUGGACAAUGCUGGUAGAUCCACUGAGUACAUACCUAGGGAUUUGCCCACACAUGAGGGUCCUUCAACCUCAGCACACAAUCUAAGCAGGUUGCCAGCAAAGGAGCUGUAUAAGGUCCAUCUUCAAAAACAAAUAAGAAAAAGUGACAUGGAGAUGGACCUUAUACAGCUUCAAAUGGAAGAGAAAAGGCUCCUCAUUAAAAAAGUAGCACUUGAAAUUGAAUUACUGGAGCAUCGCCUUAAGGUGAGAACUUGUCUGAAUAUUAAUCUGU
Molecule: long non-coding RNA, 568 nt
Organism: Tachysurus fulvidraco (yellow catfish)
Lineage: Eukaryota; Metazoa; Chordata; Actinopteri; Siluriformes; Bagridae
Exons: 4
Source: RefSeq, a predicted model, not a curated record